UAUUCUGCCCCAUGGGGAAGGAUGAGAAGCUUCGACUAAGGUUCGACUCGAGCGCCAGCGAGAGAACGUUGCCACAGGCAACGGCCCG
Molecule: small RNA, 88 nt
Filed under: Klebsiella pneumoniae
Lineage: Bacteria; Pseudomonadati; Pseudomonadota; Gammaproteobacteria; Enterobacterales; Enterobacteriaceae
Description: partial RtT sRNA
Rfam family: RtT RNA
About the family: This family represents a bacterial cis-regulatory element known as RtT RNA. The exact function of RtT is unknown although it is thought that it may be involved in changing the cellular response in relation to amino acid starvation.
Source: RNAcentral